GGAGGACAAGGCAUUGCAAUUAUGGAGGACACUGCUGGAAAAUGGAGGACAUGGACCAAAUGCGAGCUACGAACACUCUCCUAAAUGUAAAUUCAUGCUUCUUAUAGGAUGCAUCUGCACUGCAGAAUAUAACCCACAUUGAUACCCCUUUUAACUGCCAGGGUUUAAUGGUCUCAAAUCCUGGGAGUUGUAGUUUACUGUGGCCCCAAGUAUAGAUAGAGAAGGCGAAAUGCAAGGAUGGAUUGGGUGUCCUCACUGCCAAGGAGGACAAGGCACUGCAAAAUGGAGGACAUUCUAGAGGAGGAAUGGAGAACAUGGACCAAAAAGGAAAAGCUCAAGGCACUCAUUGGAUGUUUAUGGAGGGAAUUUCUGAGAAAGUUUUAUAUUCACCUCUCCACCUAAACAGGAAUUUCAAGAUCAACAAUACUGAGCCAUGCCUUUUGGUUACCUUGAGACUGAGAGAUGUGUCUACAAGCCUCUUCUGACUCAGGAUGAGAUGUCAGGUCAUCACCUUCCCUACUGAAAAGCCUGUUUGUUCUUAGAUACAAAAAUGCAGCCUCUGGUCUUGAGACCACUUGUCUGCCAAGAUAACAUCUAAUCUGGAUUUCAGUCAAUGGCUGAGGCACUGAUCUCUCUUCUCCAAAUGAAAGCCAAAUGUUUAAGAACUGAAGGUCUCUUGGAGCAACUUGACCUGGAGCGAAGCAAUGAGAAUCUUGCAGAGUCACCCUUUUUUAAAACUUCAAAUACCUGUAAACUCUGAUGUCCUUAAAUAAAUAUAGUUUUCUUUUUUAUUACUGG
Sceloporus undulatus (fence lizard) is the source of this 798-nucleotide long non-coding RNA. RefSeq lists it as uncharacterized. The record is from RefSeq and is a predicted model, not a curated record. The transcript has 5 exons. NCBI's taxonomy places the organism in Eukaryota, Metazoa, Chordata, Lepidosauria, Squamata, Phrynosomatidae.